AGUGAACGCUGGCGGUAGGCCUAACACAUGCAAGUCGAACGGCAGCACAGGAGAGCUUGCUCUCUGGGUGGCGAGUGGCGGACGGGUGAGGAAUACAUCGGAAUCUACUUUUUCGUGGGGGAUAACGUAGGGAAACUUACGCUAAUACCGCAUACGACCUACGGGUGAAAGCAGGGGAUCUUCGGACCUUGCGCGAUUGAAUGAGCCGAUGUCGGAUUAGCUAGUUGGCGGGGUAAAGGCCCACCAAGGCGACGAUCCGUAGCUGGUCCGAGAGGAUGAUCAACCACACUGGAACUGAGACACGGUCCAGACUCCUACGGGAGGCAGAAGUGGGGAAUAUUGGACAAUGGGCGCAAGCCUGAUCCAGCCAUACCGCGUGGGUGAAGAAGGCCUUCGGGUUGUAAAGCCCUUUUGUUGGGAAAGAAAUCCAGCUGGUUAAUACCCGGUUGGGAUGACGGUACCCAAAGAAUAAGCACCGGCUAACUUCGUGCCAGCCGCCGCCGUAA
RNAcentral lists this ribosomal RNA (506 nucleotides) under uncultured bacterium. RNAcentral describes it as "partial 16S ribosomal RNA". It matches the Rfam family "Bacterial small subunit ribosomal RNA", at positions 29 to 523 of the family's 1533-position model. The record is from RNAcentral.